AGUGAACGCUGGCGGUAGGCCUAACACAUGCAAGUCGAACGGCAGCACAGUAAGAGCUUGCUCUUACGGGUGGCGAGUGGCGGACGGGUGAGGAAUACAUCGGAAUCUACUUUUUCGCGGGGGAUAACGUAGGGAAACUUACGCUAAUACCGCAUACGACCUACGGGUGAAAGCAGGGGAUCUUCGGACCUUGCGCGAUUGAAUGAGCCGAUGUCGGAUUAGCUAGUUGGCGGGGUAAAGGCCCACCAAGGCGACGAUCCGUAGCUGGUCUGAGAGGAUGGUCAGGCACACUGGAACUGAGACACGGGCCAGACUCGUACGAGAGGGAGCAGUGGGGGAUAUUGCGCAAUGGGCGGAAGCCUGAUGCAGCGAUACCGCAUGGGUGACGAAGGCCUUCGGGUUGUGAAGACCUUUUGUUGAGAAGGAAAAGCAGGGAGGUGGUGCCCGGCUAGUAUGCCGUGACCCAAGGAAUAAGCCCCGACUAACUUCGUG
This 492-nucleotide ribosomal RNA is filed under the name uncultured bacterium. RNAcentral's name for it is "partial 16S ribosomal RNA". It matches the Rfam family "Bacterial small subunit ribosomal RNA", at positions 29 to 507 of the family's 1533-position model. The record is from RNAcentral.